GUCACCCCCUGCCCAGGGCAACCUCAUGCCACAGAGCAUCCUCCACAGGGCUGUGCCUUAUUUUGCUGGCAGUGACAAAAGGCUUGGAAAAAGGCUUCGUUUAAGUGGUUGUCUUUCAGAGACAUUUUUGCAUUCGGGUGGGUUGCCUUUCCCAUGAGGGGUGCAGGAACAAGAUUUCAAAGCCUUUGUAAAUAUGACAAUUUCAAAGGUUACUGGCUUUAGAUACCCCUUUUAAACUCCUAAAUUCCCAGUCUUUGAGAGCACAUAAGUGAUUUAAGACCUUAUGUCUGAGGGCUUUGGCAGGAGUAAGUUCCAGAGCUCCUAAGUCACUUCUCUUAAAUAAAGCUUUACUCCCUCAGGAUCUUUCAAUAUGUUAUCCUCACUUCUGUAUUCAACUUCGGAUGACAAAAUCUUCAGAAAUAUUUGGAUUCCCACAGAGGCUGGGUAAGAACGAGUUUAUUUAUUCAGCCCUGCUUUGCUUCAUCAAAGAGACCCCAGCCAGGAGAAGUUGGAGGGCCCCAUUCAUUAUGUUUUGCCCAGCCUGAGAGGUACUCCUGCCUGCAGUAGCGAUGCUCUGCAGGGAAAUGCAAACUUGCCAAGCUUUACUUACCUCAACCCAGCAUGUGGUACAGCACGCUGAUAGAUGCACGGGUCUGACACGCUUUGGAGACCAGCCAGGGGAGACAUAUUGCCUGGCAGAAGCAGGACACAUGUUCCCCCCUGCACUGCAUGUGAUUUAUGUGCCAGGUCAGCGCCCAAGCAGGGUGCUUUGCCAAGAUGGGUACUGGGGUGCCAGUCCCUGGGAGGCCAGUCCUUCACACAGCCACGGCUCCUUCUUGCAUGGGAAGAGGGCAAGAGCUGAGCCUGCAGCCACGCCAAAGCCUCUUUGUAGACACCUGUACCGACAAGCCAAGGUGGUGUUACGUUUUUCUAUACAGGGGUCCAUGCAAGCCAAUGGCCGGGCUGUUGGUUUGCUGUGCCACUGUGCGUCUGGGUGGGAUCCCCAGGCUUCUGGGAGAGCCUGAAUUUGUGUGGUUAGAGAAGCUGAGCCCACAAGCUGACACUGUGCCUCCCACCAACGAAAAAAAACCACCCCAACAUCCCUUUAAAACUGAUAUUUCAGGCCUCCAUAAAGAAACUGAUAAGGAGGUCAGAAUUAGCAGGAUUAUUUUGUUUGGAGGUUUUCCACUAGGGUUGAGGAACUUUGUAUGGGGCGGACUCAGGACUUCGGCAUCUCUGUUAAGAUCAAAUCUCAGUUUUGGAUUUUCAGUCAAGUAGUGCUGGGGUGGGGCGAGAGGCAGACACACAGGGUUAGGUGCCGCAGCUGGGCACCAUUUCCCCGCGCAGUGCUGCCAUUUGAAAAGGGGUGAGCAGAGAGAAAACUAUGCUGAAACUGCUCUGAAAAUGAUAAUUUCUGCAAAUUCACCUGCAAGAAGCAAACCCUUUCAAGGGCUUCAUUUGAGAAAUAAAUGUUUUUCCUUUAAGAGGCUUUUAAAGAAAGUGCCCUCUUGAAAGAAAAGUAAAGAAAUCCUGGUGAUUCAUCUGAGCAGAGUGCAGCAUAUACUCAGCAAAAGCAAGAAAGAAAGGAAUGAAAGUGUGAGCAGAACCUUGAUUAUUGGUGAUGGAGGGGCAUUAGCCAAGUUAUAAUGGAUUGUCAAACUAGGUUCGUGUUUGUAUAACCUCCCAAGUUCCUUGCACUGAGUCAACAUUUAGCCAUCUGGUUUGGGGGGUGGGGAGAGACAUUUUGUUAAAAAAAAAAUGUAAAAAUCAGUUAAAUUUAUGUUUAUGUUCUGACGGAAGAAAUGUUUUAAAGGAAAACAUACCUUUCAGAGUGAAGCAUUUGUUUUUGUUCUUCACAAGUGCUUGUUUGAGUUCAUGUUUGUUAAAUGGCUUGUAGUUAUUAAAUCAUGGAGGUUUCCCCUGCUAACAUAAAAAUAGGUGUGAUUGGAAAAUUUGUAGCAGGAAAAUAAAACUGCCUUUCACCCACUUGGACUUCACUUGACUUGGUGAGAUAUUUGUAAACCCUGAUUGACUUAAAAGCACAUUUCUUUAGGAAAGAAGUACAAUUAAGACAGAAAUUUGCCAGGAAGAUACGUAGAAGCUGCAGCAAUAACACCAUGAAUUGUGUGUCCACCCAAGGACACAGCUAUCCUCAAGCGGUGGUGCUUAUCAAUGAGGGAAACAAAACAUUUGAGUAUGAAAGCAAGAACAGCCUGGAAAACAAAGAGGAAAAAGAAGAGCCUGGUGAAACACUGCACUCAUAAAACAAAAAAAGAAGAAACAUUUAAAGAAAUGCAUAACUUGAAAGAAUAUGAAUCAUGCAGAGGUCAAAAAUCAAGGUAAUUUUCUUGACACAGAAUAUUUUACUGUAGGACUCAUGGACCGCUUACCCUCAGUAGUAUGAAAAUCUUCUCAUUGCCCUUAGGCUGUUGUGUCGUGAAAGGCUGCCGUGUAACAUAUGCCUCCUGCUUCCUGAUUUCUCCACGGGGCAAUCCAAAAUAACUUUUCCAAAAUGUCCUUGAAAAUUUAGAAUGCUCCCUUUUCAUUGUCACAGUUCUUUGGAGUCACUAGUCAUCUGUCGCCUUGGUAAAUCUCUGUCCCUCCCCUAUAUUGAUAAAUUAUCAGUGCUUGGCAUGAAAGUACAGCUUAACUGUUACCCGGAUGUUAGACUUCAGUAUAAGGCUGUGGGAAAGGAAAGGAGUUAUGUUCUGGAGACGGAGUAAAAAAUAAGGAAUAGAAAAUGCUUUGACUUUUGACAUUAUCUAUAUUACAUAGCAAUAUUCAUGUUUUUCGACUGUUUGCUGUACAGUGAAAAUGAAGCCCCUUUUAAGUGGACAAAGGAUCUUGAGUUAUUUAAAGUCAAAGUCUGUUAGAAACAAAACUGGCAGCAAGCAGCCUGACAGUAAAUUAUGCAGCUGAUAAUGAGGAGGAUGCAUCUAGUUUUCCUUCUCUGAAAGCUAACCAAUGCAAACUGAUAUGCUAUUUUAGCCACUAAAGGCUUGUCUAACCAUGGGGUUAUCAUAGAAUUAUUCCUAUUUUUGUUUCAAGCUGUACCUUCUUCUGAAACAGACGUAUAUGUAGAUGGGUUUUAUUGACUAGAGGUACUUAAAACCAGAUCCAUCAGUCCUUCAGUGCUCAGCAUCUCUACACCUGACUUUUAAGCUCCUAGCACUGGGAACAGAAAAGAGAAAUCCAUCUUAGAAACCUAAGUUUCUUAUCCAGUGAAUAAGCAGAAAUCAGUGUGUAAGAAUGGGAGAAACUAUUGCAAAAUCUUGACCAUAAAUGCCAGUAAUGAAAAUUGCAAAGAACUACGAAGAACUAUAAAUACAAAAUAUGUAGUAGAUGGAAAACAGAGAUACUCUGUAGACAUAUCCAGAAGGCUUAGAUUUUGGAACAGACUUUGCUGGGAAGUAGCCGAAUUGCUGUCACUGAGGUCUUUCAAGAAGAGAUUAGACAGAAUCUAGAAAGGACAGUCUGGGCACAUUGGAGCUCGAUUCAGAACAAGACAGUGCAUACUUGGUGGGAUGAAAUCAUAGAAAUUUUGUGCUGGAAAAGAUUUCAGAAGAUUAAUUUCUUUGGUCCUGCUAUGAACAUAUUGACAACACAGUAACAGUAAGGACUGGAUGUAGACAUCUUCUGAAUGCACGGAUAAUAGAAAUGAGUGAUUGAUUAAAAAUAUUUGUGUCAUAUAUGAAACCAGACUUAGGUAUUUGGUUUUCUUCUGAGCUAAAAGACUAAUACACUGUGUGUAUGUAUCUUCUGUACACCUCUGUAUACCUUUGCUGUACCAGUCAGUGUGACUUUUGGUGUCUCUAAAUUGAGAAGGACAACACUGUCUUGCUGAACUAUUAUGUAAACAAGAAAUAUUAACAUGCAUUAAAAAAUUUACCAACCUUAUGCCUAUAGAAAUGUAAUUGCAGGCUAGACUGUCCUCAGCUAGUU
Phalacrocorax carbo (great cormorant) is the source of this 3942-nucleotide non-coding RNA. The record is from RefSeq and is a predicted model, not a curated record. Lineage: Eukaryota; Metazoa; Chordata; Aves; Suliformes; Phalacrocoracidae.